GCACGUCACGUCACUGCCCGAGAGAGACCCAGGAAAAGGCGGAAGGGAGCGCGCCGCCGCCGCUGCCCGCCGCCUCGGGCCAGCCGCCCGCCGGGACCGGGGCCGCCGGCUGGGCCAGGGGCCGCUGCCGAGCGAGGCGAGCCGGCGCGGGUAGGGGUGGCGGCGGCGCGGGGUGGGGGAGGCGCGGUGGCGCUCGGCUCCCCGCGGCUCCUCCUGCAACCGCCUCCGCCGCAGCUCGGCCGUGAAGCGCCGCUCGGGGCUCGGCGUGCGCCCCCGAAGCGGAGCUGCUGCCUCGGGGACCCCCCUCCCCUCCCGGCCCCUCCAUGCUGGCGCCGCCCGGGCUAGCCUCCCCCGCCCUUCGCCUCCCGCCGCCAUCCCGCGGCGCCGGCCGCUUAGGCCUGCGGCCCCGCCGGGCCCGGCCCCGCUGCGGGCCGGUGGUCGCCGCGCUCUAGCCGGGAUGUUUAAGUCGCGUCGGCGCACCGGGAGAUGGGAAAAGAAUUUGUGUUGAUCCAUGAAGGAUGCAUCGGAAAGUUCAUGCCAUGAGUAACCUCAUGGAGAUGAAGAGUCUCAGGUAUUGCAGGAUCAGCAUUUCUAGAUACUACCAAGCCUUUUACUGCCAGACUGAGACCCUAUUCCUAUCCUUUGCUGACUGCUUUAGGAAGGAGUCUUUCUGUUGCUGCCACAAGAUAAUGUUGCUACCAGGUUGCCAUCACUAGCCCUUCUUUAUCCCCUGGCAAUCUCUUGGUCCUUCACCAAAAAUGUCCUGGGCUACAUGGUGAAGUGCUUCUGUGCAGGACCUGGGAAACAUCCAGUGAAGAAUGGCCUGCGACUCACAGAAGGAAAUGCAUCAGAGAUUAUUUGAUCCCAGUCAGUGUGCCCAAAAUGGGCCUGAAGAGGAGGUGCUUUAACUCCUUUCACUUGGGGCAACAAUCCUGGCAAGAAAAUGGUUGCUGGAACCUCCCAGAGCAGCACUGGUUAUUGCUGACUGCUGUGACGAGCAUAUGGCCAUGCACAAGAUCUCUAUGGAUGAAGCAAAAUUCCUUGAAAUUGCUUAAAGAAAAGUGAAGACAGCUCAAGUCAUCUGUGAUAGGCAUGAUGUUUUAUCCACAGUAUGAAAUGUUGAAUCCUAUUAUGACCAAGGAACCAACAUCAUCAAAUUCAGAGAAAUCACAGCAUAAGACAGAUGCAAUUAGACAAAAAGGAUACAAGAUACUGCAAGGUAUGAAGUGAUGUUAUGUUGAGUCAGUUCUUGACAUUCCUGCUGGGCAGGGGAAUGAGACGUAUAUAUGGUAAUUUUUGCAGGUGGGUGAUGACAAGCAUAUAAAACUCUCCAGAUUUCACUAUGGAUAUGUGAUCCAUCGGCACCAAAGGGCAAGUGCUUUAUAACCUUGCAUUCCUCUACCAUAAUGUGGUUUGACUUUGGCACUACAUUGGUCACAGGCUGCUCAGAAGAAGAGACCUCCCUGCUCUCCGGGCGGCUCUGUUAGUUACCUGUCUCAUUAAACAAAGAAUAAAAGCAGAACUCCAGGGAAGCCACUGCUAUAUCCUCUAGCUUCAGCAACUAGCAGUCCUGGGUUUGCUGCAUUGACCUGCUCCCACUAGGCAGAAUCCUCACCACUGAGCUGGAAGACCAGCUGAAUGCUGUGGGUUGCUGUGCUGCCCAUUGCACAAGAAUGUGGGAAGGGCUUUGACCAAGCCAUUCAUACUUCUGCAAUCACCUCUGGUUUUCAGGGUGCUCCUUGGAGAGACCAAAAAGCAGAACUGGCUUGGUGGUGGUGGGAAGCUUCACAUAACUUCUGAUAAACAAGGCUUGGAAGGUGCAAUGUGGACUGGAAAGGUUCCCAGACUGUCACAGUGCCCAGGUUUCAGGUAGUAUCUGGUCUGGUAUUUGUCAGGAGGAAUGGGUAGACCACUGAGACAGGCACAUUGCAGCCCAUACCAACAGAUGCAGCAUGAAGCCACCAACUUGCUUCAACCCAUGGAGCUUAGAGACAAAAGUGCCAAACACACUUGAAGAUACUGAGCCACGCCAUGGCAUAGUUCCGUAGUCACCUCUAAGACCAUAAAUACCCUCUUGUUUUAUUCAGCAGUGUGUCUGAAUUUGACUAUGUCUACCAGUCUCCAAAUCUAGGACAAGCAAAGUUGUGAUGCUGACUGAACUGCCUGUGUGUACAGGCAGCCAAAAUGCUUGGGAGCCAAAGGCUUGAGUACAAAGGAAGAUGAAUGAAGCUGUAAGAGAAAAAUAUUUUCUUUUGAUGAGAAAACAAGUUGCAGUGAGUUAAGUAAUGAAAAAAGAUUGAGCUGAACUGUUCUGUGUUAGUACACAAAAUUCCUUUGAAGAAAUUGCCAUUAAAAAUGCUUAUCAAAUAAAAAGUCUUUCCAGGAAGGUUUUCAUGGCAUUAUAAAACAUUUUUUCCAAGUCCAUAUGUAGAUGAUGCUGAGAUGUGUGUAAUGCAGAAAAACAAGGUAGGUGGGGAAAAUACAUGAAAGAAGCAUGACAACGUGUUUAUUUAUAGGAAGUUCAUCAUGGUAAGGCUGGAAUAUUGAAUAGCAAAGGAGUGGGAAACGCACAGGCUGAACAGGGAAACGUGAUCUGAGAAUAUCUUGUCAGUGUCACUUGGGGUCUGGAUUUAGGCAGUCAUUCUAAAGGUUCCUACUUAGUAAUUAGAAAAUCUGUUCAGAUACACCAGGCUGACAACUGACUGUCAUGUUUUUUAUCCAAGUAUUAUCAUGCACCUUGAGGAACUCUGUCCAGUGUAAAGAACCUCCUGGCUGUUUGGACCCAAAAGAGGAAUGCAAAGGGCUCAUGUUCAGUCUGCUAUGCUAUGCAAGAUAGUUGUGGAGAAAGAUGAGAAGAAGGUCCACAUGUUUAUGGUCUUAUGGUGGUGUUAGACAGUCAGUAGCUUUGAACUCACUUAAAAAGUUUAAAUUGGUGAAAAUGUUGUAAGGCCAAUAUGAAAUCUCUACGCUUGCAUAUGUCUCGAAUAACUUCUCUAUUUAAAAAUAUUAGCAGUG
This is a long non-coding RNA of Apus apus (common swift), 3015 nucleotides long. RefSeq lists it as uncharacterized. The record is from RefSeq and is a predicted model, not a curated record. The transcript has 3 exons. Lineage: Eukaryota; Metazoa; Chordata; Aves; Apodiformes; Apodidae.